This 1832-nucleotide ribosomal RNA is filed under the name Triticum aestivum (bread wheat). RNAcentral describes it as "partial small subunit ribosomal RNA". Lineage: Eukaryota; Viridiplantae; Streptophyta; Magnoliopsida; Poales; Poaceae. The record is from RNAcentral.
GUGACGGAGGAAAUCGACUUUGCUUUGGGAGUAAGGAGGACACACGCCCACGCGGUACCGGAGUGGCGUCGUCGGCGGCGGCCGCUUCUUUGGGGGUGGUGAGAGCGGCUGUUGGUAUUCGCGGGAGCUGGAUCUGUGGGAGGCGCUUUAGAAGGAGACGGAGGGGAGAGAGGGCUCGGAGCAGGCGCGGCGGGAGUCGACGGCGUGGAAGGAGCUGCGGCAGGCAAGCAGGGGGCGAAGGCGCGCGAGGUAGGUGGGGGCGACGAUCCAGUAAAGGAGUGGUGGGUUCUGUGGUGGUAGGGGUGGAAGCACGGAGAGGCGUCGGCGAGGCUGGGCCUGUAGCGCCGCCGCCAUGCGCCGCCACUAAAGAAGGAGUGGGCGGAGGGCCAGGGGCUUCUGCCGCGGCACAGGCAAGGACAGGGGCGGGGGCGGGAGCUUCUGUUGCCGCUACCGCACAGACAAGGACAGGGGCGGGGGCGGGGGCUUCUGUUGCCUCUACCGCACAGGCAAGGACAGGGGCGUGGGCGUGGGCUUCUGCUGCCGCUCCUAUCGCAGAGACCGAGGCUUCUGUUGCUGCUCCUAGGGCAGGGGCUCACCAGUUAGCUCCUGACGGCGCUGCCUAAGCAACAAGAGCUGUUGACCUCGUGAGUCGUCUAGCGGCAGAUGUUGGGCGAGCGCGCUUGGGACCUGGAGAAGGGGGACGGCGGGGCGGCCCUCCUGACGCUCCCGGUCAUAAGACUAAUGAUGUAGGAGCGGCUCCUUCUUCUUCUUCUGAUGAACGGCAUAGCGCAGCACACGCAGACCGUGUCGUUUGCGCCCCGCGCGCGGUACCAAAAUAGUAGCCUGUGGUCGUUCACCGUCUAAAAGGGUACCCAUCUGUAACUACCCGAGACCGGAGUUUGACGAUUCGACCACUUACCGACGUAGAUAACCUGGUAACCCUACUUACUACGGGCACACGAAUUGUGACGAUGUUACGUUAAGAGAGCCUACCUAUUCGGCGGCGCGUCCUCUCCCUUACUCUAUAACUGCCGACCAUUCUGGUUCCUACCUUCUGAGACACACCAGACGCGUGGAAACCCCGGUGACUGUAAGCUUAGGCACGAACGACAAACCUAAGCCUCUCGGCUACUGCUACCGCAGCUCUCCACCUACAACCUAUUCAGUGAGGGCAACGUCCUCUAUCGACCUUAGCAAGCCACGCUUAAGUUCCUUCUGUUACAAUUUAUAGUUCACUGACAAUCCUGCUAAUAGCUACCUAAACACAUGAAGAGACGAAUAACACCCCACACCGUCGUAGUAGUAAGCUGUGAGACCGAGGAUAGGAAGACGAACCUUUGUCGCCGCGACUUGUUCGAACCCGCAUAGGAAUCACCACAAAGGAUAGGGAUGUAGUACGGCACCGGAACAAGAAACCAACCAUGUGUCGUUCGUUUGGUCGAAUAGGUCAAUUUCUGUGUGUUAAGAGAAGACACUAGAACUUAACUUGACUACAGACGAUUAAUUCGACGCAGUGACCCGAGGAGUCCGUUUCCACGUCUUCUUCUUUGUACACACGGCAAACAUUACCGUUGUACCAACCAAGUUUGAUUCCUAGAACUGACCCCUUAUUUCUUCGCCCCGUCGUUCAAACGUUCGUCCCGAAGUAGUUACACGACUUUAACAACCAAGUGUACGUCUUAGAUAUGAUAGACGUCAAUCUUGAACGUUACAGGACAGGCUUGAAGGCAUCUCGAGAGUUCCACACCUCGAUUACAGACAGUCAGAUACCUUACUUUGUGACUUGCUGGUCGGCAAGUACAUAACUUUGUCAAAGCCAUGUCGUUAAUCUC